GGUGUAGAGGGAGACAUUUGUAUUUCACAGUGAGGGAGGGGGUGUCAAAAUUCAUUUUGGCCCAGGGUGCUGUGAAACCUAGGUAUGACUAUGAAUUUGUACAACCUUUGAGGUAAAUCUCUUUGGCUUUCUCCAUGACAUCUACCAUCACAUAGAAAUCUGACCCCUUACAAAGAAAAAAGUUGUCCCACUCUUUGACUGUGGGAUUGUUAAAACCUCUACCUAUAACUUCUAAGCCUCGGAAUUCAAUAAUAUGGAUUUUAUACUUGGCCUUUCUCCAUCAGAAUGAAACACUUCAAUUUUG
Pelobates cultripes (western spadefoot toad) is the source of this 304-nucleotide non-coding RNA. NCBI's taxonomy places the organism in Eukaryota, Metazoa, Chordata, Amphibia, Anura, Pelobatidae. The record is from the annotation of a GenBank genome assembly.